AUGGGGCUCGUGCGUAAAGAUGUUAUGAAACCAGCUACUCUAGCUGGGGCAUAGUGACUCUCCGAAUGUUGUUGUCCGGAAAACAUCUCCCCUUUCUUAAGCAGGAGGUAACUUUUUAAAAUGUAUAGUGUCUGUGAAAGAUUAGAGAAAAGCAUAAUUCCGCUUGUUUCCAGUCAUCUAAUCAGUCUGUGUAGUUUUCAUGUUCUUGCCAUACUAAGCAGGUUCCCUCUGAGUACUCUGCUUUUGGCCAGCAGUCCUCUAUGUCUGCCCAGAGAUGGACUGGAAUCCCAUUCAGGGUGUACCAAUGCUUAGUGUCCUAUACUAAUAGGCUACAGUCCCACCCUUAUCUUUGUACGACAUAGUUUGUACCUGUUAGCUAAACUAAUUUGAUUGUAUAGACAGGGACUGACAUAACUUGUAUGUAAGUAUGCCGUUGUGGUAUAUAGGUUAAAAUGCACUGUAAUCUCUUGUCACAACAACACAGACACUUACUGUUCAGAGGAGUGGAAAUCCUUCAGUGGGGUAUUGUGAGACAAGGGAGUAUGUAAGGGAGAUAUGGGUGUUUUGCAUAGGCCUGUCAUUGGCUUCCUGAUCAUCUUCACCCACACCUAUGCAAGCAUCAGGGGCAAUUAGAGCUUCCAUUUGAGCUGAUCUGCAUUUCUCUGGCUUGGGGAGAGAGUGAGGAAUGGGCGAGGAACCCAGAGUGAGGUCACACACCCAUAUGCCGUAUGCAUGGGCAGCUGGAAAUGUUGUUGCUUAUUGAAUCCAGUUCAGGCUUGCGUGUUUAAUUCAGCGCAUUCAUAAAAUGUGAUAGGGCGGUGUUGGUGUGCGUUGAAUCCAAAGCAGGACCAGAUGUGAAGGGACUGGUGCGGUCAUGCCGUCUGAUCUGAUUGGUCAGUCUGUAGGGAGAUGGUGCAGGUCACAGAGGGGGUGGGAGAGUGGGGGGAUUUUGAUGCUCAUUUUGGCCUGAGGCAUCAAGUGUUCCUGACCGGGGGGGUGGCUGCAUUCUGGGUUUUUUGGGUGAUGUGCACGGACAGCUGGAAAUGUUUCAUUAACCACACUAGGACAUUUAUAUUUAGUGUAAUUGACGUAGUAUUUUUUCUUAAAAGUACAGAUGUACGUUUAAUUUUUUUUUUAAAAGUACACAUGUUUUUGCACCUUCUAAGUGCUGCUGGAUUUAAUCUGCCAAACGGUUUGUGUCCAUGGCACUCAACCAGUCUCCUUAAUGAAUUUUAGGGAGGCUCAGCAGACGGCUGCUCCUCCACCCACUUUACGUGGUUGUGUUUGAUGGAAAACUGAGUUAUUUCGCUUUUCUUCUACGGGCACUCCUUUUGUGAGGUGUAAACGUGUCAGUAGCCUCAGGUGACAGGUGUGACUAUAUUGAUGCCAUGUUGGUGUUGCUCUGUGAAAGAAGGUCACAGAGUUAACUGGGGUGGGGGCGCAUGUAGCGCAGAAUGGAACCUAUGCUGCAAUGGGCUGUGUAGCUGUAUUUUACCACAUUGCUCGGUGGUCACAUGACUGUCUGGUUCGUGUUGAGUUUUGCGUUUAUGCAUGGGUAGGGUUUGUGGCUCCAGGCAUAGUUGGCGCUGUCACAUUGCAUUAGAUGUAGUCGCUUGAUUCACUGUAUGCAAUUUAGGCUUUCAGUAAAGGAGCCAUUUUGGUUGCGUGACCUGCAGGCAGACCGGAAUGGGCAUGCCUGCUGUGAUGUCACAACCCAUGUGGUCUGCCUGGCCCUCUAUGGUGGUCGCUGGUCAUGUGACCAGACAUCCCGGUCCUCCCUUUGGCUGCUUUCCGCAAAUCUGCUUUCUGCUUUCCACUAGCCUAGUGGGUCAGUUAAGGUGCUGUGGUUAUCUCGGAAACUCUCCAUAGCUCUUUGACGCAAUUGUGCUUUCAGGCUUGUUGUAACCUCCACACUCCACGAGAAAACAUUCCCAUGUGCCUACUAGAUGAGAGAGUCUCUUCUGACGACUUUGGAGGUGUGUCUGCUGAUAAAGUGACAUGUGCUGACAGCUCUGUGAGUGUUUGUUGGUUUGUGUGAGCGUGUGUUGUUUUGUGUGAGCGCGUGCGUGAGCCUGCCCUUCUGGUUGGAUGGGGUGGCUUGUAUAAAAGGGCGGAGCGUGAGGCAGAGCCCACUCAGUACGACGAGUUUUCGCUGAGCUCUGGGAUGUUAUCUGCUGCCAGGGGCUUUUAGUUGGUGGGCAGGCGGGCCUGUGUGGAGAACCGGCGGUGCCCAACAGCCUGUUGAAGAUCAGAGCCGUGUUGCAGUCCGUCUUGUCGUGCUGGAGCCAUGAUAAUCAGGCUUGGCCGUCUCACUCCAGGAUACUUCAGGCUCCUCCAGCGGCAGGCGGCGGGUGAGGUGCGGACUCCGCCUCAGGACCGAGGCAUAAACCAGCUGGCUGCCCUGCUGGCCACCAUGGGCCUCAGCCUGUCCUACUACAGCGCAUGGCGGAUGACGGAGACGGUACGCGACGGGCCGGCCGCCUGAGGCCCCCCCCUCCUGAGCCGCUCUGCCCCCCUGCUCCGCGCAGCUACUGUCGACGUGAGCACCAGGUGACGCAGGGGGGUGCCCCAUUGAAAGCUGCUGGGGGGGCGUCUCCGCACUUGAAGCAAAAUUUCAUUUCGGUUCUGGAAUUUUGCGAACAUCAAAUAACAAAUGGCAGUGCUUUUGAGGAAUGCCCCCCCCCCCUCCCCCACCAUCUUUUAGUUUGUGUAAAGUGAUUUUAAUGGAGCUUUACUGAGCCCCUGGUCCAUACUAUGAAGACAAGACAGUUACUGGUCAAUAUUGAAAUCGGCUGUGUCCCAGACACAGUGUCAGCCUGAGAGUCCCAGUCAUGCUGAAAUGAAGGGGGGCCUGCUCGUCACCAGGGCGGCGACAAUCAGCCUCUUUCCUGUUUCCCAUUUGGUGUGAAAUCUGUUUCAACUGACUAUUAAAAGCACAUCUGCAAGACUGCGGAGGUACAGAGUCACACUACGAAGAUUUUGGAAGAUUCUGCAUGGGUGUGGUGGUGACGUUUUAGAAUGAGAUAAUAUGAUGUCUGCUGUAUUAUCUAUAUGUUUUAAAACUGUGAAAUAAAGCUCUGACCUAUACAUGUGAA
RNA transcript from Paramormyrops kingsleyae, 3095 nucleotides. RefSeq lists it as uncharacterized. NCBI's taxonomy places the organism in Eukaryota, Metazoa, Chordata, Actinopteri, Osteoglossiformes, Mormyridae. The record is from RefSeq and is a predicted model, not a curated record.